CCUUCCGUAGGGUGAACCUGCGGAAGGAUCAUUACCGAGUGCGGGUCCUUUGGGCCCAACCUCCCAUCCGUGUCUAUUGUACCCUGUUGCUUCGGCGGGCCCGCCGCUUGUCGGCCGCCGGGGGGGCGCCUCUGCCCCCCGGGCCCGUGCCCGCCGGAGACCCCAACACGAACACUGUCUGAAAGCGUGCAGUCUGAGUUGAUUGAAUGCAAUCAGUUAAAACUUUCAACAAUGGAUCUCUUGGUUCCGGCAUCGAUGAAGAACGCAGCGAAAUGCGAUAACUAAUGUGAAUUGCAGAAUUCAGUGAAUCAUCGAGUCUUUGAACGCACAUUGCGCCCCCUGGUAUUCCGGGGGGCAUGCCUGUCCGAGCGUCAUUGCUGCCCUCAAGCCCGGCUUGUGUGUUGGGUCGCCGUCCCCCUCUCCGGGGGGACGGGCCCGAAAGGCAGCGGCGGCACCGCGUCCGAUCCUCGAGCGUAUGGGGCUUUGUCACAUGCUCUGUAGGAUUGGCCGGCGCCUGCCGACGUUUUCCCAAACCCCAAAUU
This 542-nucleotide ribosomal RNA is filed under the name Aspergillus niger. RNAcentral's name for it is "eukaryotic LSU rRNA". The stretch from base 221 to 374 matches the Rfam family "5.8S ribosomal RNA". Lineage: Eukaryota; Fungi; Ascomycota; Eurotiomycetes; Eurotiales; Aspergillaceae. The record is from RNAcentral.